CGCACAUUGCGCCCUUUGGUAUUCCGAAGGGCACACCCGUUCGAGCGUCAUUACACCACUCAAGCCUGGCUUGGUAUUGGGCGUCGAGGCACCCCUCGCGCCCCAAUUUCACCGGCGGACUGGCCGCGUUGCAAGCGUUGUAGUCUAUUAUUGAUUCGCACGCAGCGUUAAGAGUAAGUCUCUGCCGUUAAACAUUUGAACAAGGUUGACCUCGGAUCGGGUGGGGAUACCCGCUGAACUUAA
This 243-nucleotide unclassified non-coding RNA is filed under the name Passalora sp. Its description in RNAcentral is "partial contains 5.8S ribosomal RNA, internal transcribed spacer 2, and large subunit ribosomal RNA". The record is from RNAcentral. Lineage: Eukaryota; Fungi; Ascomycota; Dothideomycetes; Mycosphaerellales; Mycosphaerellaceae.